AAUGCCCCCAAAGUCUUCUACCCAUGAGGAAAGCUUUCAAUGGUACUUUCAUCAUUGCUGGGGGCUAUGGUAGGGAAGAAGGCAACGAAGUCAUUUCCAAAAACCAUGCAGAUCUUGUGGCUUAUGGCCGAUGGUUUUUGGCUAAUUCAGAUUUAUUUGCCUAAGAGGUUUGAGCUUGAUGCUCCCCUUAA
Molecule: long non-coding RNA, 191 nt
Organism: Telopea speciosissima
Lineage: Eukaryota; Viridiplantae; Streptophyta; Magnoliopsida; Proteales; Proteaceae
Exons: 2
Source: RefSeq, a predicted model, not a curated record